This 107-nucleotide ribosomal RNA is filed under the name uncultured bacterium. RNAcentral's name for it is "partial 16S ribosomal RNA". It matches the Rfam family "Bacterial small subunit ribosomal RNA", at positions 1378 to 1482 of the family's 1533-position model. The record is from RNAcentral.
CCGUUGUACACACCGCCCGUCACACCAUGGGAGUUGGUUUACCCGAAGGUGGUGCGCUAACCCGCAAGGGAGGCAGCCAACCACGGUGGGAUCAGGCGACUGGGGUG